CUGGCUCAGGAUGAACGCUAGCGACAGGCUUAACACAUGCAAGUCGAGGGGCAGCAUAAAAGUAGCAAUACUUGGUGGCGACCGGCGCACGGGUGAGUAACGCGUAUGCAACCUACCUAUCAGGACGGGGAAUAACCCGGCGAAAGUCGGACUAAUACCGCAUAAAACAGGGGCACCGCAUGGUGAUAUUUGUUAAAGAAAUUCGCUGAUAGAUGGGCAUGCGUUCCAUUAGGUAGUUGGUGAGGUAACGGCUCACCAAGCCGACGAUGGAUAGGGGAACUGAGAGGUUGGUCCCCCACACUGGUACUGAGACACGGACCAGACUCCUACGGGAGGCAGCAGUGAGGAAUAUUGGUCAAUGGGCGAGAGCCUGAACCAGCCAAGUCGCCGUGAAGGAAGAAGGAUCUAUGGUUCGUAAACUUCUUUUGCAGGGGAAUAAAGUGCAGGACGUGUCCUGUUUUGUAUGUACCCUGAGAAUAAGGAUCGGCUAACUCCGUGCCAGCCGCCGC
This 509-nucleotide ribosomal RNA is filed under the name uncultured bacterium. RNAcentral describes it as "bacterial SSU rRNA". It matches the Rfam family "Bacterial small subunit ribosomal RNA", at positions 19 to 518 of the family's 1533-position model. The record is from RNAcentral.